This 752-nucleotide long non-coding RNA is filed under the name Pan paniscus (pygmy chimpanzee). Its description in RNAcentral is "lncRNA (ENSPPAG00000044228.1)". The record is from RNAcentral. Lineage: Eukaryota; Metazoa; Chordata; Mammalia; Primates; Hominidae.
CGUAAAGGUCAGGGCCGAGUCAGAGGGGUGGGCCUGCCGCCGGCUCCUGCCUAACUAGACUUCACAGUCUGCACCUUUUGACAGCACUGAGUAGCAGUAUCUGCAAGUGCUCGGCCUGCAAUAUGAGCUGCCGUGAAGACCAGGAAGCCGGGGAGGUAGGGAAGCGUCAGGAGUCCUGUUGGGGAUUGAAGCCGCAGCCAGCCCUGUCCGCUUCAGCCACCGGAGCAGUGACUGGUGCGGGACCUGGCUCCUCGGGCCACUCAGAAUCCUCAGAGUCCAGCAGGAAUCAACUCCCGUGAUCUCCUAAGGUGAGUAGAAAUGAAGAUAGGCAAGAACUGAAUCUUCAAAGAACAUUAACAAGCCACUGCUUGUUUGCACCCGUCCUGGCUCCAUGCAAUUUACUUUAGUGCAUGGCACUAAACCACAUCAUGCCCAUCAGAGUGCCUGCGACACAGGACGUAAUCAAUAGGAAGCUGUCAGCAAAUGCUGCUGAAGAGAAUUUUUUAGGUGCUGAAGGUCUUGAAAUAAGCCGCCUGUUUGGCAAUGGGUUCACUGGUCUCUCUGAAGACUCACAGCGGGUGGCGCUCCCUGGCUCUGUGAGGUACGUGUCACUUUCCCCCAGCAUCGCUAAGGCCAUCCUCCUCCGAAAACUGUGCAAACCUCUGAUAAAUCAGUAAAAAUUAUCUGCUCUUUUGUCUUUUUUAAGAUCAGCAUUUGGUUGCCACAUUUUGAAAGAAAAAUGCUGAUUGCAG